CUGGCUCAGGAUGAACGCUAGCGACAGGCCUAACACAUGCAAGUCGAGCGGCAGCACCUCGGGUGGCGAGCGGCGCACGGGUGAGUAACGCGUAUGUAACCUGCCCAUGAGUGGGGGAAUAGCCCGGUGAAAACCGGAUUAAUGCCCCAUGACACCGGAAUUUGACAUCUUAUACCGGUUAAAGAUUCAUUGCUCAUGGAUGGACAUGCGUUGGAUUAGCUAGUCGGCGGGGCAACGGCCCACCGAGGCUACGAUCCAUAGGGGUUCUGAGAGGAAGGUCCCCCACAUUGGUACUGAGACACGGACCAAACUCCUACGGGAGGCAGCAGUGAGGAAUAUUGGUCAAUGGGCGGAAGCCUGAACCAGCCAAGUCGCGUGAAGGAUGAAGGUAUUUAAUGUAUUGUAAACUUCUUUAGCUGUGGAGAAAUAAGGUGCAUGUAUGCACCGAUGCUAGUACACAGAGAAUAAGGGUCGGCUAACUCCGUGCCAGCCGCUGC
RNAcentral lists this ribosomal RNA (497 nucleotides) under uncultured bacterium. Its description in RNAcentral is "bacterial SSU rRNA". It matches the Rfam family "Bacterial small subunit ribosomal RNA", at positions 19 to 518 of the family's 1533-position model. The record is from RNAcentral.